UGUAACAUAAUGUAGAAUGGCAUAACACUUGAAAACAGUCUGUAACUGUAACACAAUGUAGAAUGGCAUAUUACUUGAAACCAGUCUGUAACUGUAACAAUGUAGAAUAGCAUAACACUUGAAAACAGUCUGUAACUGUAACACAAUGUAGAAUGGCAUAACACUUGAAAACAGUCUGUAACUGUUACAAUGUAUAAUGGCAUAACACUUGAAAACAGUCUGUAACUGUAACAAUAUAGAAUGGCAUAACACUUGAAAACAAUCCAAGUGAUUGUCAUGACAGAACUGGAGGGAAGUGUUCAGAUGCUUAAUGUUUCAUCAGGACCAUAAAUUCACUUAGUACGAACCCACAGGGUAUAGUGAAUAUAGAGAAGAGCCUAGGGCCUGAAAAAAGAUACUGUUAUGACCUAGAGGCAUGAGAAUGACAAUGAGUGUGGCGGUGUGUGUUGGCCUACAGAUGAGAUGGGGCUGUGUUUGUUGGCCUACUGAUGAGGAGAUGGGGCGGUGUGUGUUGGCCUACUGAUGAGGUGGAGCUGUGUGUGUGUUGGCCUACUGAUGAGGAGAUGGGGCGGUGUGUGUUGGCCUACAGAUGAGGAGGUGGAGCUGUGUGUGUUGGCCUACUGAUGAGGAGGUGGAGCUGUGUGUGUUGGCCUACAGAUGAGGAGGUGGAGCUGUGUGUGUUGGCCUACAGAUGAGGAGGUGUGUGUUGGCCUACUGAUGAGGAGAUGGGGCGGUGUGUGUUGGCCUAUAGAUGAGGAGGUGGAGCUGUGUGUGUUGGCCUACAGAUGAGGAGGUGUGUGUUGCUCUACAGAUUAGAUGGGGCUGUGUUUGUUGGCCUACUGAUGAGGAGGUGGAGCUGUGUGUGUUGGCCUACAGAUGAGGAGGUGUGUGUUGGCCUACUGAUGAGGAGAUGGGGCUGUGUGUGUUGGCCUACAGAUGAGGAGGUGGAGCUGUGUGUGUUGGCCUACAGAUGAGAUGGGGUUGUGUUUGUUGGCCUACUGAUGAGGAGGUGGGGCGGUGUGUGUUGGCCUACUGAUGAGGAGAUGGGGCGGUGUGUUGGCCUACAGAUGAGAUGGGGCGGUGUGUGUUGGCCUACUGAUGAGGAGGUGUGUGUUGGCCUACUGAUGAGGAGGUGGAGCUGUGUGUGUUGGCCUACAGAUGAGGAGGUGUGUGUUGGCCUACUGAUGAGGAGGUGUGUGUUGGCCUACAGAUGAGGAGGUGGAUCAGUGUGUGUUGGCCUACAGAUGAGGAGGUGUGUGUUGGCCUACAGAUGAGGAGGUGUUGCUGUGUGUGCAGUAAUAAAUUAUGACAAGGGGCAGGCAGCACGAUCACACUAUAUUUACACUUCACAUUCAUUACGCUGUAAACGCUAGCAUUUCAGUUCAUGAUCUAUUUAUGUUGAGAUACUCAAGCUCCUAAGCAGUGGGAUCCACUGGAAAAAACGUUGACCACGGUAAAAAAAGAGAAAUGGCAAGCUAAACAUGAAAAGAG
RNAcentral lists this long non-coding RNA (1491 nucleotides) under Salmo salar (Atlantic salmon). RNAcentral's name for it is "lncRNA (ENSSSAG00000093174.1)". Lineage: Eukaryota; Metazoa; Chordata; Actinopteri; Salmoniformes; Salmonidae. The record is from RNAcentral.